This 497-nucleotide ribosomal RNA is filed under the name uncultured bacterium. Its description in RNAcentral is "partial 16S ribosomal RNA". It matches the Rfam family "Bacterial small subunit ribosomal RNA", at positions 28 to 507 of the family's 1533-position model. The record is from RNAcentral.
GAUGAACGCUGGCGGCGUGCCUAAUACAUGCAAGUCGAGCGAACAGACGAGGAGCUUGCUCCUCUGACGUUAGCGGCGGACGGGUGAGUAACACGUGGAUAACCUACCUAUAAGACUGGGAUAACUUCGGGAAACCGGAGCUAAUACCGGAUAAUAUAUUGAACCGCAUGGUUCAAUAGUGAAAGACGGUUUUGCUGUCACUUAUAGAUGGAUCCGCGCCGCAUUAGCUAGUUGGUAAGGUAACGGCUUACCAAGGCAACGAUGCGUAGCCGGCCCGGGAGGGUGGUCCGCCCCCCUGGAACUGGGACCCCGGCCCGGCUCCCACCGGGGGCCGGCGUUGGGAAUCCUCCCGCAUGGGCGAAAGCCCUGCCGAGCCAACCCGCGUGAGUUAUUGAGGUUCUCCGAUCCUUAAACCCCUUUAUUUGGGAAAAACAAAUGUGUAAGUAACUAUGCACGUCUUGACGGUACCUAAUCAGAAAGCCACGGCUAACUACGUG